GACGAACGCUGGCGGCGUGCUUAACACAUGCAAGUCGAACGAAAAUACCAAGCUUGCUUGGUUGCUUAGUGGCGAACGGGUGAGUAACACGUGAGUAACCUGCCCCUUACUUUCCUGGAUAACUGCUCGAAAGGGUAGCUAAUACGGGAUAUUCUGACCAGCCUGCAUGGGUUGGUUUGGAAAGGUUGUUUUUCUGGUAAGGGAUGGGCUCGCGGCCUAUCAGCUCGUUGGUGGGGUGAUGGCCUACCAGGGCUUUGACGGGUAGCCGGCCUGAGAGGGUGUACGUGGACAGUGAGACUGAGAUACGACACAGAGUCCGACGGAAGGCAGCAGCGGGGAAGGUUGGACAAUGUGGGGAAGCCUGAUGCAUGGACGCAGCGCGAAGGAUGAAGGGCUGCGGGUUGUAAGCCGCUUUCGUCAGUGAACAGGGCACUGCUUUUGUGUUGGUGUGGAGGGUACCGGGAUAAGAAGCCCCGGCAAACUACUU
Molecule: ribosomal RNA, 487 nt
Filed under: uncultured bacterium
Lineage: Bacteria
Description: partial 16S ribosomal RNA
Rfam family: Bacterial small subunit ribosomal RNA
Source: RNAcentral